Molecule: ribosomal RNA, 443 nt
Filed under: uncultured bacterium
Lineage: Bacteria
Description: partial 16S ribosomal RNA
Rfam family: Bacterial small subunit ribosomal RNA
Source: RNAcentral
CCUACGGGUGGCAGCAGUGGGGGAUAUUGGACAAUGGGGGAAACCCUGAUCCAGCGACGCCGCGUGAGUGAAGAAGUAUUUCGGUAUGUAAAGCUCUGUCAGCAGGGAAGACAGAAAUGACGGUACCUGACCAAGAAGCCCCGGCUAACUACGUGCCAGCAGCCGCGGUAAUACGUAGGGGGCAAGCGUUAUCCGGAAUUACUGGGUGUAAAGGGAGCGUAGACGAUGAUGCAAGUCUGGAGUGAAAGGCGGGGGCACAACCCCCGGACUGCUCUGGAAACUGUGUAACUUGAGUGCAGGAGAGGUAAGCGGAAUUCCUAGUGUAGCGGUGAAAUGCGUAGAUAUUAGGAGGAACACCAGUGGCGAAGGCGGCUUACUGGACUGUAACUGACGUUGAGGCUCGAAAGCGUGGGGAGCAAACAGGAUUAGAUACCCGGGUAGUC